This 550-nucleotide ribosomal RNA is filed under the name uncultured archaeon. Its description in RNAcentral is "bacterial SSU rRNA". It matches the Rfam family "Archaeal small subunit ribosomal RNA", at positions 325 to 879 of the family's 1478-position model. The record is from RNAcentral.
ACGGGGUGCAGCAGGCGCGAAAACUUUACAAUGCGAGAAAUCGUGAUAAGGGAACCCCGAGUGCCCGUAAAUUCGGGCUGUCCGCCAGUGCAAAAAACUGGUGAAGAAAGAGCCGGGCAAGACCGGUGCCAGCCGCCGCGGUAAUACCGGCGGCUCGAGUGGUGGCCACUAUUACUGGGCUUAAAGCGUCCGUAGCUUGGUUGUUAAGUCUCCUGGGGAAUCCAUCGGCUCAACCGAUGGGCGCUCAGGAGAUACUGGCAACCUAGGGACCGGGAGAGGUGAGAGGUACUCCAGGGGUAGGAGUGAAAUCCUGUAAUCCUUGGGGGACCACCUGUGGCGAAGGCGUCUCACUAGAACGGCUCCGACAGUGAGGGACGAAAGCUGGGGGAGCAAACCGGAUUAGAUACCCGGGUAGUCCCAGCUGUAAACGAUGCGCGUUAGGUGUAUCGGUGACCACGAGUCACCGAGGUGCCGAAGGGAAACCGUGAAACGUGCCGCCUGGGAAGUACGGUCGCAAGGCUGAAACUUAAAGGAAUUGGCGGGGGAGCAC